GCGAGCGCCGUGGGAAACGUCGCCCCUUAACUCUGAAGUUCCGCGAGUUUCUCUUUGGUUGCGGGAGGAUGAUCAACGCCGCCAAGUGGGGAAAGCAUGAACACAGUCCCCCACUACCAACACUUAUGCAGUCAAGUUUUCCACCUUUGGGGACAUCUCAGGGGUCAGCACAUCCGGAGUCAGUCGAUGAGUCUCACCCUGGGAAAAACCGCCUUCGUGAUCAUGGUAUCUUCCCUGCCAGGAGUUGAUGCACAGGGGGAAAGCGAAGUUCCCAGGAGUAAGAUGUACAAGAAGGAGGCCACCCUUGCAUUUCAGGGCUGAGUUCCCUAAACUGUGUGCUUGAAGGAAGUUCUCCCCUUGCAGACACACUGCUGAGUGAUAAGGAAGCACCUAGACUCCACUAUGACCAGACUGGGUUCUGAGGCCUAUGAAAUGUUGAUGGGAAGAACAGAAGCAGGAAAAUCUAUCUAUUCAAAUUUGCAAGAGGUGGAAACUUUUAUUCACCUUCCUGGAUAGACUGUCCUGUUGUCAAAGUAAAGCUAAGGCCGUGGAAAAUGAGCUAUUUGAGAGUCUGUCGCUCCAAGGAAGAACAUGCUGGCCUAAUUGUCCCCUCAGUCAGGGUAGAGAAUUGUAAAAAAAACACUUAAACGGGCCUAAGUAAAGGUCCAGCACAUUAUUUAUUUAAGACUGAAUUAGGACUGAGUCAUUCCAACUCCGAAAAAAGAAUGUUGUUGGAUUCUUACAUAUUUGAUGGACUGUCCCAUUGAAAACCAUUGUGAAGUCUGGUUUCCCAAGCACGAAAUGACAAUUUCACUGUCUUUCUAGGAAUCUGGCAGAAUCCAGGACCGGGAUUAGCCUUAUUUUUUAAGCGACCUUAGACUAACAGUGGCUCUCUGGGCCUCCAGACAAUUGGCCAGGGACUCUGAAAGCCAGAAACAAAGUUGAGAGAACUCCAGGCUGGUGGAGAAAAACAGCUGGCCUUCAUCACCAGAACGUGCCCCAUAGAAGCAAGAAAGCAGCAAGCGAGGUUCUUAAACGAGGGCCUGCGGGCCUCAUCAAGAUCUGGAGGAGUCAUCUGCAACUUACUGCUGAGUGAGAAGGCUAGGCAGUGUCUUUAAGGUCCUGCCAGCUUUAACAUUGUAUGCUUUCUUUUUCUUUUGUCCAAUCUCUCACCACAACUGGAAGUGUUGCCUCAACUACACAGGAGAAAGUUUGCAGUAACUUAGAGAAAACAUUAUUUUAAUCACCAGCGUAUGUUCUCUCGCUCCCUGGACAAAUCCAUCAGCAGUGGCAACACUGACCAGGUCCAGAUUGGGGCCGCUGCAGUGGAUGUGGAUCCAUUGAAACCAGGGGUCUCCAGUGCUCCUGACU
Cercocebus atys (sooty mangabey) is the source of this 1371-nucleotide long non-coding RNA. RefSeq lists it as uncharacterized. The transcript is spliced from 3 exons. Lineage: Eukaryota; Metazoa; Chordata; Mammalia; Primates; Cercopithecidae. The record is from RefSeq and is a predicted model, not a curated record.